This 24-nucleotide non-coding RNA is filed under the name Rattus norvegicus (Norway rat). The record is from RNAcentral. Lineage: Eukaryota; Metazoa; Chordata; Mammalia; Rodentia; Muridae.
UAAUGACCUGAUGACCUUUGCUCU